Molecule: long non-coding RNA, 1644 nt
Organism: Pelobates fuscus (common spadefoot toad)
Lineage: Eukaryota; Metazoa; Chordata; Amphibia; Anura; Pelobatidae
Exons: 2
Source: RefSeq, a predicted model, not a curated record
GAGGAGCUCUAAGAUGCGGACUACAGAAUGAAAUAAAGAUUUUCAUAGAGCUUGACUGAAAGCAGGAGAACAACUUUACAUGGACACCACAGACCAGACUGGACUCCUUGACCAGUGGCCGAAAGCCUGCUUUCCAGGACUGUUUUGUAUUCUGUGCAUGGAAGAAGUGUGUGUGUGUGUUUACAGUGCUGUAUGUGCUCUGGUCCGGUAAAUCAUUCACAUCCGUUGUAAAUGGUUUUUAUUAGCUGCUGUCUGUGUCAUUUAAAUACCUAUCCCACCCACUGUUAACUGAGAACAAAGAUAGUAUGUCCGUCACUCCCACUGCAGGGCGACACAGAGAGGGGAGCAUGUCCGUUCCUCCCACUGCAGGGCAACACAGAGAGGGGAGCAUGUCCGUUCCUCCCACUGCAGGGCGACACAGAGAGGGGAGCAUGUCCGUUCCUCCCACUGCAGGGCGACACAGAGAGGGGAGCAUGUCCGUUCCUCCCACUGCAGGGUGACACAAGAGGGGAGCUAUAAAACUCCAUGCCUAUCCCUCCCACUGCAGGGCAAAGCAAGAGGGGAGCUAUGAAACUCCAUGCCUAUCCCUCCCACUGCAGGACGACGCAGAGAGGGGAGCUAUGAAACUCCAUGCCUAUCCCUCCCACUGCAGGGCAAAACAAGGGGGGAGCUAUGAAACUCAAUGCCUAUCCCUCCCACUGCAGGGUGACACAGAGAGGGGAGCUAUGAAACUCCAUGCCUAUCCCUCCCACUGCAGGACGACGCAGAGAGGGGAGCUAUGAAACUCCAUGCCUAUCCCUCCCACUGCAGGGUGACACAGAGAGGGGAGCUAUGAAACUCCAUGCCUAUCCCUCCCACUGCAGGGCGACACAGAGAGGGGAGCUAUGAAACUCCAUGCCUAUCCCUCCCACUGCAGGGCGACACAGAGAGGGGGCUAAGGAAUUCUUUGUCUGUGUCUCCAACUGCUGGGUGAUGGUCUGUGCUGUUGUGUAUAUAUUGCAGAAAAAAAUAGUAUAUAACAGUAUAGCUCCAAUUAUGAAUUUACAAAUUCAUAUACAGAAAUCACAGCUGGUCCUGUCUAUAUUAUUCAGUAGGAAGAGAGACCCAAGGCAGUCUCCCUACCGAGCUGAUCUAGCUAACACUAGACUGAUGAAAUCUAUUCUGCCCAAUUAAAAUUACUUUGUGCCGGCUUCUAGAAUACAUAUGGUUAGGCUGUAUAGUCCUGGUGUAUGUGGAUUUUUGUUAGAUAUAUGCUGUAAUGUAUAUAAUGUUGUCCCUUUUCUUUGUGAUCAUACUUCAUUUGGCCUAAAACAGUUUUCCUCCUGUUAUCUUCUAGACAAGCACCAUUGACCUUGUUGAAUGGGACAUUGCCGAGGUAUUGUAGUGCCCUGGCAAUCUUUCUGCCCACUCCUGUAUUUAUUUGAGAGAUAUAUAAUCCUGUAUCCUGUCCUGAUUGUGUCUUGGUGUUUCUUGUGGUUGAUACACAAACCGGUUAGUGUUUAUCAGACAUUGCCUUGGAAUCUUGUUUCCUAUUUAGAUUUGAAACUACAGGUAGUCACUUUUCAAGUCUUUUUUCCUACCAACUAAAUUUUGCUGUCAUCUCUGAAAUGUAUAAUUUUGAGAAUAAAGGAAGAAUUUAGGCGA